RNAcentral lists this ribosomal RNA (256 nucleotides) under uncultured bacterium. RNAcentral describes it as "partial 16S ribosomal RNA". It matches the Rfam family "Bacterial small subunit ribosomal RNA", at positions 524 to 777 of the family's 1533-position model. The record is from RNAcentral.
UACAGAGGGGGGCAAGCGUUGUUCGGAAUUACUGGGCGUAAAGGGCGCGUAGGCGGCCUUCUAAGUCGAACGUGAAAUCCCCGGGCUCAACCCGGGAACUGCGUCCGAUACUGGAAGGCUUGAAUCCGGGAGAGGGAUGCGGAAUUCCAGGUGUAGCGGUGAAAUGCGUAGAUAUCUGGAGGAACACCGGUGGCGAAGGCGGCAUCCUGGGACCGGCAUUGAUGCUGAGGCGCGAAAGCCAGGGGAGCAAAGCGGG